UACGUAGGGGGCUAGCGUUAUCCGGAAUCAUUGGGCGUAAAGCGCGUGUAGGCGGUCCGGUAAGUCCGCUGUGAAAGUCGGGGGCUCAACCCUCGAAUGCCGGUGGAUACUGUCGGGCUAGAGUGCGGAAGAGGCGAGUGGAAUUCCUGGUGUAGCGGUGAAAUGCGCAGAUAUCAGGAGGAACACCAAUUGCGAAGGCAGCUCGCUGGGACGUAACUGACGCUGAGACGCGAAAGCGUGGGGAUCAAACAGG
This 253-nucleotide ribosomal RNA is filed under the name uncultured bacterium. Its description in RNAcentral is "partial 16S ribosomal RNA". It matches the Rfam family "Bacterial small subunit ribosomal RNA", at positions 524 to 776 of the family's 1533-position model. The record is from RNAcentral.